UGCUGGAGGUAUCAGAAGUGCGAAUGCUGACAUAAGUAACGAUAAAGCGGGUGAAAAGCCCGCUCGCCGGAAGACCAAGGGUUCCUGUCCAACGUUAAUCGGGGCAGGGUGAGUCGACCCCUAAGGCGAGGCCGAAAGGCGUAGUCGAUGGGAAACAGGUUAAUAUUCCUGUACUUGGUGUUACUGCGAAGGGGGGACGGAGAAGGCUAUGUUAGCCGGGCGACGGUUGUCCCGGUUUAAGCAUGUAGGCUGGUUAUCCAGGCAAAUCCGGAUAAUCAAGGCUGAGGUGUGAUGACGAGGCACUACGGUGCUGAAGUAACAAAUGCCCUGCUUCCAGGAAAAGCCUCUAAGCAUCAGGUAACAUCAAAUCGUACCCCAAACCGACACAGGUGGUCAGGUAGAGAAUACCAAGGCGCUUGAGAGAACUCGGGUGAAGGAACUAGGCAAAAUGGUGCCGUAACUUCGGGAGAAGGCACGCUGGUGUGUAGGUGAAGUCCCUGCGGAUGGAGCUGAGACCAGUCGAAGAUACCAGCUGGCUGCAACUGUUUAUUAAAAACACAGCACUGUGCAAACACGAAAGUGGACGUAUACGGUGUGACGCCUGCCCGGUGCCGGAAGGUUAAUUGAUGGGGUUAUCCGUAAGGAGAAGCUCUUGAUCGAAGCCCCGGUAAACGGCGGCCGUAACUAUAACGGUCCUAAGGUAGCGAAAUUCCUUGUCGGGUAAGUUCCGACCUGCACGAAUGGCGUAAUGAUGGCCAGGCUGUCUCCACCCGAGACUCAGUGAAAUUGAACUCGCUGUGAAGAUGCAGUGUACCCGCGGCAAGACGGAAAGACCCCGUGAACCUUUACUAUAGCUUGACACUGAACAUUGAGCCUUGAUGUGUAGGAUAGGUGGGAGGCUUUGAAGCGUGGACGCCAGUCUGCGUGGAGCCAACCUUGAAAUACCACCCUUUAAUGUUUGAUGUUCUAACGUUGGCCCCUGACCGGGGUUGCGGACAGUGUCUGGUGGGUAGUUUGACUGGGGCGGUCUCCUCCCAAAGCGUAACGGAGGAGCACGAAGGUUAGCUAAUCCUGGUCGGACAUCAGGAGGUUAGUGCAAUGGCAUAAGCUAGCUUGACUGCGAGCGUGACGGCGCGAGCAGGUGCGAAAGCAGGUCAUAGUGAUCCGGUGGUUCUGAAUGGAAGGGCCAUCGCUCAACGGAUAAAAGGUACUCCGGGGAUAACAGGCUGAUACCGCCCAAGAGUUCAUAUCGACGGCGGUGUUUGGCACCUCGAUGUCGGCUCAUCACAUCCUGGGGCUGAAGUAGGUCCCAAGGGUAUGGCUGUUCGCCAUUUAAAGUGGUACGCGAGCUGGGUUUAGAACGUCGUGAGACAGUUCGGUCCCUAUCUGCCGUGGGCGCUGGAGAAUUGAGGGGGGCUGCUCCUAGUACGAGAGGACCGGAGUGGACGCAUCACUGGUGUUCGGGUUGUCAUGCCAAUGGCACUGCCCGGUAGCUAAAUGCGGAAGAGAUAAGUGCUGAAAGCAUCUAAGCACGAAACUUGCCCCGAGAUGAGUUCUCCCUGAGACU
RNAcentral lists this ribosomal RNA (1567 nucleotides) under Klebsiella pneumoniae. RNAcentral describes it as "bacterial LSU rRNA". It matches the Rfam family "Bacterial large subunit ribosomal RNA", at positions 1271 to 2822 of the family's 2925-position model. Lineage: Bacteria; Pseudomonadati; Pseudomonadota; Gammaproteobacteria; Enterobacterales; Enterobacteriaceae. The record is from RNAcentral.